RNAcentral lists this ribosomal RNA (465 nucleotides) under uncultured Klebsiella sp. RNAcentral describes it as "bacterial SSU rRNA". It matches the Rfam family "Bacterial small subunit ribosomal RNA", at positions 338 to 795 of the family's 1533-position model. Lineage: Bacteria; Pseudomonadati; Pseudomonadota; Gammaproteobacteria; Enterobacterales; Enterobacteriaceae. The record is from RNAcentral.
CCUACGGGCGGCUGCAGUGGGGAAUAUUGCACAGUGGGCGCAAGCCUGAUGCAGCCAUGCCGCGUGUGUGAAGAAGGCCUUCGGGUUGUAAAGCACUUUCAGCGGGGAGGAAGGCGUUAAGGUUAAUAACCUUGUCGAUUGACGUUACCCGCAGAAGAAGCACCGGCUAACUCCGUGCCAGCAGCCGCGGUAAUACGGAGGGUGCAAGCGUUAAUCGGAAUUACUGGGCGUAAAGCGCACGCAGGCGGUCUGUCAAGUCGGAUGUGAAAUCCCCGGGCUCGACCUGGGAACUGCAUUCGAAACUGGCAGGCUAGAGUCUUGUAGAGGGGGGUAGAAUUCCAGGUGUAGCGGUGAAAUGCGUAGAGAUCUGGAGGAAUACCGGUGGCGAAGGCGGCCCCCUGGACAAAGACUGACGCUCAGGUGCGAAAGCGUGGGGAGCAAACAGGAUUAGAUACCCUAGUAGUC